AACUGAUACUACCUGCGGGAACCUGCGGAAGGAUCAUUACAGAGUUGCAAAACUCCCAAACCAUUGUGAACGUUACCCAUCCCGUUGCUUCGGCGGGCGGCCCGGGCCCCGUGCCCGGCGCCCCCCGGCCCCUCGCGGGCGCCCGCCGGAGGUAAACCAAACUCUUGAAUUGUAUGGCCUCUCUGAGUCUUCUGUACUGAAUAAGUCAAAACUUUUAACAAUGGAUCUCUAGAUCGGAAG
Molecule: unclassified non-coding RNA, 240 nt
Filed under: soil metagenome
Description: partial contains 5.8S ribosomal RNA, internal transcribed spacer 2, and large subunit ribosomal RNA
Source: RNAcentral